UUCGUAGGCGGUGUGGCAAGUCGGGAGUGAAAUCUAUGGGCUUAACUCAUAGGCUGCUUCCGAAACUGCUGUGCUUGAGUGUGGGAGAGGCGCGUGGAAUUGCAGGUGUAGCGGUGAAAUGCGUAGAUAUCUGCAGGAACACCCGUGGCGAAAGCGGCGCGCUGGACCACAACUGACGCUGAGGAACGAAGGCUAGGGGAGCAAACAGGAUUAGAUACCCUGGUAGUCCUAGCCCUAAACGAUCAGGACUUGGGGUGCCACCCGUUCGGGUGUCGUCCCGGAGCUAACGCGUUAAGUCCUGCACCUGGGGAGUACGGUCGCAAGACUGAA
Molecule: ribosomal RNA, 330 nt
Filed under: uncultured bacterium
Lineage: Bacteria
Description: bacterial SSU rRNA
Rfam family: Bacterial small subunit ribosomal RNA
Source: RNAcentral